RNAcentral lists this long non-coding RNA (3202 nucleotides) under Capsicum annuum. Its description in RNAcentral is "long non-coding RNA (CANN_LNC007439)". The record is from RNAcentral. Lineage: Eukaryota; Viridiplantae; Streptophyta; Magnoliopsida; Solanales; Solanaceae.
ACUGAAGAAAAAAAAUAUUCUUCUCCUUUCUUUUUCCUUCUUUCUUCCUUCCAUUUUUUUUUUAAAUUAUUUUCUUGCAUUUGAAGCUGGGAAAUUAUGGCUGAUGAUAAGGUAACUAUUUUGCUUUGUGGGUAAUUUUUUUAUUUAUAAAAACAAUAUAAAUGUACUUGUUUAAGUUGUUUUCUUGAGUUUUUGGAGAAUUUAAGGUUGUUGUUUCUUGGAUAUAUUGCUUCUUUAGAUCAUAUAUCAUUACUAAUAUGAGUUUUUGGGUAUUUUUUUUAAUGUACAAAAAGUUCAUAAAUUUACUUGUUUAAGUUGUUUUCUUGAAUUUUUGGAGAAUUUAAGGUGGUUGUUUCUGGGAUAUAUUGCUUCUUUAGAUCAUAUAUCAUUAUACUAAUAUGAGUUUACAUACCAUUUUGCUUUGUUGGUUUUUUUUUAAUGUACAAAAAGUUCAUAACUUUACUUGUUUAAGCUGUUUUCUUGAUUUUUUUGGAGAAUUUAAGGUUUUUUCUUGGAUAAAUUGCUUCUGUAGAUAAUGUUCUAAUGUACAAAUAACAAAAAGUUCAUAACUUUACUUGUUUAGUUGGUUAUUGCUAGUUAAGGGAAUAUUUGUGUUGUUGUCCUUUAGAUCAAAUUUCACUACUAAUCUGAGUUUAAACGCCAUUUUGUUUUAUGUGUAUUUAUUUUUUAUGUACAAAAAGUUUAUAACUUUGCUUAUUAUGUUGGUUUUCUUUCUGCUAGUUUCAUUUUUUGGAAACUUUUAGUGUGAAUAUUUGGGUUGUUGUUUCUUAGAUUCAAGAUUUGGUUUAUUUAAGUAUAUCUAGUUACACAAAUGUUUCUACUAGCUGUUUUCAUAUUUCUUUUAAAGCAAGUGACUCACCUUCUUGAGCCACACGUUUCUUCCUAGAGUAGUCACAAGCUAUAUUAAACGGAGACUUGUUCAGGUAUUUAGGGGGCUGGCGUACAUGCACACUAUUGCCGGCGUUUGCCACAGACAUUUGAAAUUUUUAUUUAAGGGCUUCAAAAUAUAAAGAAGAAAAGUAAUAUCUACAUUAAAGAAAUAUAAUUUUACCUAGCUACAGAAUGUAUUUUUUCCAACGAACAUAUGGCUCCAUCACUGAUCAUAUCAAUUCUAAUUUCACCAAGUCUUUCACGUUUCAAUUAGAAUUGUAAAUAUGGUUCAUAAAUUCCCCUAAUCAGACAAAGACUUGUGCAAGUCAAUCAAGUCUUGCUUUGGUAUGCCAUGUUCCUCUAAUAUGUUAAUUUUACUAACUUAUAUUAUACUCUUGAGAAUUAUUUUUACAUGAUUAAAAUAGUUUAGGGAGAAAAGUUCGAAAUAUAUUUAAAUUUUGGUAAAAUUUGUUGGAACAUGUCUCAAUUUUGGGAGAGUCCUAUCACCCUCUGGAUUAUUUUUUACUGUAUUUCUGUGGCAUAAAUUUGCUUGCUUGACCAUUACAUGAAUGCACGCACACUGUGCACGUAACUGUCUGAAGUGGUCUAGCUAAGCUAUGCUACAGAAAUGCGGUAAAAAAUAAUCUAGGGGGACCAGCGUCCCCGUAAAGUUAAGGCAUGUUCCAACAAAUUUCGUCAAAACUUAUAUAUUUCGAACCUUUUUCCCGAUAGUUUAUAUAGCUAAUCAUAACAUUCUAGUUACUUUUCAUAAAAGUUAAUUUAGCUCAUUUUUAUAUGAGAUGGUAAUAAAAUGAGCUUUUAAUUAUAGUUUAUAAUUUGUUUGAAAUUUUGACUUGUUUUAGAGUAUGUUUUUAUGAACUUUUUUUUUGAUAAAAGAAUACACAAAAUUAAGAGCCAUUUGGAUAGAAUUAAAAUCUGGUCAAAUCUUUUCAUUUUUUUUUUUGGCUUUCCUUUAAGUGUUUAGUAAAAUUAAAAAGUGCUAAAAAAAACCAAAAACUGAUUAAAAAAAAAGUGAGAAGCUGGAGGGUGGGCUUGUUGUUGUUGAUGGAGCUGUUGAUGGUGGUAGUGGUGCUACUGUUGGUGCUAAUGAUGCUCCUCUUACAGUAUUUAAAGCAAACCAUUAUGAGUAUGAUCAUACUGGUUAUACAGAUUUUGCCUCUCCCAGCGAAUGCUCUGCAUGCAAAUGUCAAGACUGCAGAUUUUGCCUCUCCCAGCGAAUACUCUGCAUGCAAAUGUCAAGACUGCAGAUUUUGCCUCUCCCAGCGAAUACUCUGCAUGCAAAUGUCAAGACUGCAGGGCGAAACAUGAUGUAGUGAUUAAUGCUAUUAAUGCAUUAACUUCUUCUGUAAAGGAAUUGACAUCUAAGAGGGGUCUCAUUCCAUCAAAGAGGAUUUUAUUUCAUCAGUCAUCCAAAAAAGUGAAAUUGCAACUCCUCUGUCUGUGUGUUGUACUAAGCAACGUACAAUGUCCAAAGGAGAGCAGCACGAGCUGAAGAAGGUGAAUAUAUUAUAUGUCUUCCAACUGACAAAACAAACAAACACAUAUCUGUUUCAACAGAUGACACAUCUGCUGAAAAUUUUCUAAUAGAUAUAUACAUCUGUUACAACAAUUGACUAACCUGUUGCACCAGAUACUUUAUCUGAUGCAACAUAUGUCUCAUCUAUUUUAGCAAAUCAAACAGCUCUUCGUACAACUUUUAUUUGUACCAACAGACGACCUAUCUGCUGCAACAGAUGAUUCAUAUGUUACAACGGAUGGUUCAUCCGUUGGAAAUUAUCACACAGGAUCUUCCUCAUGUAAAAAUUUGUCCCAACAGUUGAUUCAUUAUUGCAACAAAAAUAAAAUAUGUUUGGGAUAAUUUAAAAUGGGAGGAAGACCUGUUUGAUUUGCUAGAAGAGAUGAGUUAUCCUUUUCUGUUUUGUUGUAUCUCCGUGAUUAGCAUUGACCAAUUCUGGCUUUCCAGGUUGAUAUAGAAGAAGCUACUGCUGAACAAAAUUGACAAUAUUCUACUUUUUUUAUGGAAAUACGGACAACAAAAAGUGUAGAAACCGUACACAAGCGACAAUGAAGAUCCACGACCAGCAAAGCCGAAUUCCAUAGUACCGGAUGAAGAACAACUUGUCCAUACUGAGUAGAUCUUUAUAUCUUGAGCCUGUCAAAGCAAUCCUUGGUAGUAUACUUAAAUUGUUGUUGAUGUAUUUGUUGAGAUCUAUUCCCAUAACAAUUUUUUUACAUUUCAUUUAUUCGUUGACUUAUUUCAGCUAAUUUAUGAAGGCUUCGAUUUAUUUUA